GGAAUAACAACAUUUAUUGGAGCGCUA
This 27-nucleotide small RNA is filed under the name Bombyx mori (domestic silkworm). Its description in RNAcentral is "ovarian small RNA-17221". Lineage: Eukaryota; Metazoa; Arthropoda; Insecta; Lepidoptera; Bombycidae. The record is from RNAcentral.